AUUGAACGCUGGCGGCAGGCCUAACACAUGCAAGUCGAGCGGAUGAAGGGAGCUUGCUCCUGGAUUCAGCGGCGGACGGGUGAGUAAUGCCUAGGAAUCUGCCUGGUAGUGGGGGAUAACGUCCGGAAACGGGCGCUAAUACCGCAUACGUCCUGAGGGAGAAAGUGGGGGAUCUUCGGACCUCACGCUAUCAGAUGAGCCUAGGUCGGAUCAGAUAGUUGGUGGGGUAAAGGCCUACCAAGGCGACGAUCCGUAACUGGUCUGAGAGGAUGAUCAGUCACACUGGAACUGAGACACGGUCCAGACUCCUACGGGAGGCAGCAGUGGGGAAUAUUGGACAAUGGGCGAAAGCCUGAUCCAGCCAUGCCGCGUGUGUGAAGAAGGUCUUCGGAUUGUAAAGCACUUUAAGUUGGGAGGAAGGGCAGUAAGUUAAUACCUUGCUGUUUUGACGUUACCAACAGAAUAAGCACCGGCUAACUUCGUG
Molecule: ribosomal RNA, 484 nt
Filed under: uncultured bacterium
Lineage: Bacteria
Description: partial 16S ribosomal RNA
Rfam family: Bacterial small subunit ribosomal RNA
Source: RNAcentral